AGCCGAGAUAGCUCAGUCGGUA
RNAcentral lists this transfer RNA (22 nucleotides) under Hymenasplenium wangpeishanii. Its description in RNAcentral is "partial tRNA-Phe". Lineage: Eukaryota; Viridiplantae; Streptophyta; Polypodiopsida; Polypodiales; Aspleniaceae. The record is from RNAcentral.